RNAcentral lists this ribosomal RNA (319 nucleotides) under uncultured bacterium. RNAcentral's name for it is "bacterial SSU rRNA". It matches the Rfam family "Bacterial small subunit ribosomal RNA", at positions 372 to 683 of the family's 1533-position model. The record is from RNAcentral.
UGGGCGAAAGCCUGAUGGAGCAACGCCGCGUGGGUGAAGAAGGUCUUCGGAUCGUAAAACCCUGUUGUUAGAGAAGAAAGUGCGUGAGAGUAACUGUUCACGUUUCGACGGUAUCUAACCAGAAAGCCACGGCUAACUACGUGCCAGCAGCCGCGGUAAUACGUAGGUGGCAAGCGUUAUCCGGAUUUAUUGGGCGUAAAGGGAACGCAGGCGGUCUUUUAAGUCUGAUGUGAAAGCCUUCGGCUUAACCGGAGUAGUGCAUUGGAAACUGGGAGACUUGAGUGCAUAAGAGGAGAGUGGAACUCCAUGUGUAACGGUG